RNAcentral lists this ribosomal RNA (490 nucleotides) under uncultured bacterium. Its description in RNAcentral is "partial 16S ribosomal RNA". It matches the Rfam family "Bacterial small subunit ribosomal RNA", at positions 28 to 523 of the family's 1533-position model. The record is from RNAcentral.
GACGAACGCUGGCGGCGUGCUUAACACAUGCAAGUCGAGCGGAAAGGCCCUUUCGGAGGUACUCGAGCGGCGAACGGGUGAGUAACACGUGAGUAAUCUGCCCUUGGCUUUGGGAUAACCACCGGAAACGGUGGCUAAUACCGGAUACGACCACUCCCGGCAUCGGGUGGUGGUGGAAAGUUUUUUCGGCCAGGGAUGUGCUCGCGGCCUAUCAGCUUGUUGGUGGGGUAAUGGCCUACCAAGGCUUCGACGGGUAGCCGGCCUGAGAGGGGGGCGGGCGACACUGGGACUGAGGCACGGGCCACACUCCUACGGGAGGCAGCAGUGUGGAAUAUUGGACAAUGGGCGGAAGCCUGAUCCAGCAACGCCGCGUGAGGGAUGACAGCCUUCGGGGUGUAAACCUCUUUCAGUACCGACGAAGCGCCGAUGAUGGCGGUGACGGUAGGUACAGAAGAAGCACCGGCCAACUACGUGCCAGCAGCCGCAGUAA